Molecule: long non-coding RNA, 2029 nt
Organism: Leopardus geoffroyi (Geoffroy's cat)
Lineage: Eukaryota; Metazoa; Chordata; Mammalia; Carnivora; Felidae
Exons: 3
Source: RefSeq, a predicted model, not a curated record
GGAUGAUUUAGAGAGAGAAAAAUGGAGAGAGCGAGCGGACGAGAGAGUGAAUCAUAAAAGAAAUUUAGGGGAGAAGGUUCUGAGUGCCAGAAGACGCCUGGACACAGAAAAGCCGGUGCAGAAGGAAAGAGAGAGACAGGUGGAGAGAGCCUGCCUGGGAGAGACCCCGGGAACGAGAGACAGAGGGAGACUGAGGAGGCAUCAGAAGGAAGCUGGAGGAAAACAGGAGAGGGGCCAGGCUCCGAUGGAUGAAGGAGGGAGAGGGACGCAGCUGUGCACAAUAACGGUAACCGACAUAAAUUGAACGCUAAAUAUUACGGACUCAAAGUCGUUUGCAGGCAUCGACUUGGUCCUCCAGCUUCUGCGGUUAGCCCCCAUUUUCAAGAUGUGUAAACUGAGACAGAGAGUCAGAGAGAUUCAGAGCAAGGGAUUCUCCUGCUGUCCUGCAGGAGCAAACCCAAACCACCCUGCUCCAGAGAGGGCCAUCUGAGGAUGGCAUCUGCUACCAAGAGGCACAGAAACGUCAGUCGUGUGACCACAAGGAAAUGCUUCCUAUCUCCCGAGGGAGCUUGGGAGUGGGUCUCUCCCUAACUGAACUGCCAGAUGAGGACAGGGCCAGUUGGCAUCCUGACUGCAGCCUUGGGAGACCCUGAGCAGAAGACCUCCCUGCACUGUGCCAGGUUCCUGAGCCGUGGAAAGUGUCAGAUAAGAAAUAGAUGCUGCUUUAAGCCGCAGCCUUUGUGUUUUUUGUUACGCGGCAACGGGUAACUGACUCUGUAAAGCAGGCUGCACUGUGAAGGUCGCUAUGGAUGCUCAGCCAGUGUUGCGUUAAUGCCCCCUCUCCAAAACUCCCUGGCCAUCACUCCCAACAACCAGCCAGUCCCCGUGUGCAGGGCCCUCUCCUCCCUGGAUUCCAGCCUUGUCUUAUGCCAUCGUCACAACUGCCUCCCACAAACAGAGUGGAUUCCCCUACUCUGCCCAGCUCCUUAGCACUUUGGAGGUUCCUGAGCGUGGCUCCCCGGCCUGGAAUCUCCUUCCAUCUCCUUCCACCUACUGGAAUCUUCUUCCAUCUCCAACAUGAAGGUUCAACUGAAAUGCUUCUUCCUCCAGGAAGCCUUCCCUGACUUCCCAAGGCUGCAUCAGAGGAGACAGCUGUACCUCGCCCUGUAGUGCCCCCCAUUAAAGCACAGUCACUCUGCAUUGUGAUUGGCUUGUCGGUCUGUCCCCCACCCUCCAGUAGAGCCAGGGACUGUUCAAGACAGGCACGGGGCUGGUUCACUUCCAUAUCCCCAGUGCCCAGUUUGGUUUUGGUAGACCGGAAGUCUCAGUCUGCAGGUGCUGAAUGGAUGGACAGACAGAUGGAUGGAGGAAGGAGCAAAAGACUCCGGGAACGAGUGGAUACAUAUUCUAGAGUCCUCCGGCAGCCAAUUACAACCUCCCAUCCCUGUCCGACCCCUCUCCCCGCCUCAUAUCCUGAGUGAGCGUUCUCCCAGGUGCUUGAGCAUAUCUGGUCAACAACAGCUGGGGCCUUUGUGUUUUCUCAAGAGGAACAGAGUGGUGGUGGCAUGUUUUCCCGCUGUACCAGGAAGAGAAGAUCAGCGUUUCUCAAACGUCCUCAUUCAGGGUGAAGUGGAAAUAUUCCAGUGCUGAGGAAUCAGGUGGCCUGAGUUCCAAUCCUUGCUUUUCCUUGCCUCCCUGAGGGACCCCGAAUCAAAUACUGUGCUCUGGGCACUUUAUCUGCUUGUCUGUAAAGGUGGGGAGGGGAUGAGGGAAGUGAUCUCAUGGCAGAUGGGAGGUCCUGGGACCAUGAUUCAAAAUCACACAUCCUGGGAAUUCUGGCAGGGUUUUUAGGGUGUCUGUGAAGCUCUGGAAAUUGCUGAUGAAAUUGUGUGAAUGUGGGUGCUCUUUUCUGGGGGUCCUCAGCGUUUCUCCGGUUCCCAAAGGGACCUUGAGUCCCCUACAAGAGUCACUGCCUAUUGACAGAUUUAGCAAAAUCUCACUUGUGUCAAUAAAAAUUGUGAAAAAGCAA